AUACGGAGGAUCCGAGCGUUAUCCGGAUUUAUUGGGUUUAAAGGGAGCGUAGGCGGACGCUCAAGUCAGUUGUGAAAGUUUGCGGCUCAACCGUAAAAUUGCAGUUGAUACUGGGUGUCUUGAGUACAGUAGAGGCAGGCGGAAUUCGUGGUGGAGCGGUGGAAUGCUUAGAUAUCACGAAGAACUCCGAUUGCGAAGGCAGCCUGCUGGACUGUAACUGACGCUGAUGCUCGAAAGUGUGGGUAUCAAACAGGAUUAGAUACCCUGGUAGUCCACACAGUAAACGAUGAAUACUCGCUGUUUGCGAUAUACAGUAAGCGGCCAAGCGAAAGCGUUAAGUAUUCCACCUGAGGAGUACGCCGGCAACGGUGAAACUCAAAUGAAUUGACGGGG
RNAcentral lists this ribosomal RNA (393 nucleotides) under uncultured bacterium. RNAcentral describes it as "partial 16S ribosomal RNA". It matches the Rfam family "Bacterial small subunit ribosomal RNA", at positions 523 to 918 of the family's 1533-position model. The record is from RNAcentral.